CCUACGGGUGGCUGCAGUGAGGAAUAUUGGUCAAUGGGCGCGAGCCUGAACCAGCCAAGUAGCGUGAAGGAUGACUGCCCUACGGGUUGUAAACUUCUUUUAUAAAGGAAUAAAGUGAGGCACGUGUGCCUUUUUGCAUGUACUUUAUGAAUAAGGAUCGGCUAACUCCGUGCCAGCAGCCGCGGUAAUACGGAGGAUGCGAGCGUUAUCCGGAUUUAUUGGGUUUAAAGGGAGCGUAGAUGGGUUGUUAAGUCAGUGGUGAAAGUUUGCGGCUCAACCGUAAAAUUGCAAUUGAUACUGGCAGACUUGAGUACGUUUGAGGUAGGCGGAAUGCGUGGUGUAGCGGUGAAAUGCUUAGAUAUCACGAAGAACUCCGAUUGCGAAGGCAGCUUACUAAGCUACAACUGACACUGAUGCUCGAAAGUGUGGGUAUCAAACAGGAUUAGAUACCCUUGUAGUC
This 460-nucleotide ribosomal RNA is filed under the name uncultured bacterium. RNAcentral describes it as "partial 16S ribosomal RNA". It matches the Rfam family "Bacterial small subunit ribosomal RNA", at positions 338 to 795 of the family's 1533-position model. The record is from RNAcentral.